CGUGACCGUUUAGAGGAGUUCAACGGUAUUUUGUCUUUUAUGUGAUACUGUUGUGAGUGUGGUGUUCAAGAUUGAACACAGGACCUCAUGCACAGCAGGUACCCUCUGUACCCUCGUUGACUGUCCUACAAGAUGAGACAUUACAGCAUCUCUAAUUUCCAAGUAUCCCCAUCUUGGUUCAAAGAAGAAACUGAGCAUCAAUGGAGUUGCUCCAGUUGUGGCAAGAUAGCCAGCCACUAUGGCCUUAAUUCAUCUACACACAAAAAUACUGCCCAGGAAAAGGACGGAAUAUGGGGAACAGUCGACCAAUAGCUCUGCCAAUACAGGAAUAAAGUUCAUUUACCCACUAUGGCUUCCAGUUCCACUGUAAUCUGGCAUUGGUCUUUUUUCUGCUUUUCACCUGAGAUUCUCUGGAUGAUAACCUGAAGCUCUUUGCUUGACAUAGUCCUUAUUUGGCUCAGUAUUGCCUGAGGCAAAGCAAUAAGGUUGAGCUUGGUCACUUUCCUAAAAAGUUAUCUGAAGAAUGGGCCAGCAUGAUAUAACCCAACAUGAAACACAUGUAAAACCUUCAUAGAGAUGAAUCCUGUGACCCCCAACUACAAGACUUUUGAUAUUUGAGCAUGAAGUGCUAUGACUGCAGGAAGAGACCUUGGAGGGAAAUUUACCAUAACGAGAAGAUCAUGAAACCGGUUAUGACUAGAUCUUGCUCAAUUUCAAAUUCUGUCGAUUACUAGUCCUGUGCUGUGGGACGGUUUGACAUUUCAGAGAUUCUGUUCUUUCGCUGUAAAGUGGAUAAAAUGGUGCCUAAUGUAGUAGAUGAUUGUGACAGCUCGGUGAUAAAGUGCCAAUUAAAUGCUUAGUGGAGUGUUUAACACGUGGCAAGUGUGCAAUAUACGCCAGGUAUCAUUUGACACUUCAUUUGCUACUUGGCUCUUGGGGCUCAACCUCAGUUUAUGACUGAGUGUGCUGCAUUAAAAACACAGGCAAAGACCAAUGGAAACUUCCUAGUGCUUGAGAAAGGACUGACACUGUGGUACAUCCUGUGACUCCAUGAGAAUUCUCAUUCUGUAUAUUUCAGAGCAUUUUCUGUAAGUCAAACGAUACCUUUUUUCUAAGCAGAGACUAUAGUAUGAUCUGUGAAUUAGUGU
Molecule: small RNA, 1148 nt
Filed under: Rattus norvegicus (Norway rat)
Lineage: Eukaryota; Metazoa; Chordata; Mammalia; Rodentia; Muridae
Description: uncharacterized LOC108352303
Source: RNAcentral